GACGAACCGUGCGAACGUUGUUCGGAAUCACUGGGCUUAAAGGGCGCGUAGGCGGCUUGCCAAGUCAGGGGUGAAAUCUUUCGGCUCAACCGGAAAAGUGCCUUUGAUACUGGCGAGCUCGAGGGAGGUAGGGGUAUGUGGAACUUCCGGUGGAGCGGUGAAAUGCGUUGAUAUCGAUAGGAACUCCGGUGGCGAAGGCGGCAUACUGGACCACUUCUGACGCUGAGGCGAGAAAGCCAGGGGAGCGAACGGG
Molecule: ribosomal RNA, 253 nt
Filed under: uncultured bacterium
Lineage: Bacteria
Description: partial 16S ribosomal RNA
Rfam family: Bacterial small subunit ribosomal RNA
Source: RNAcentral